CCGCAACGAGCGCAACCCUUGAUGUUAGUUGCCAGCAGGUGAGGCUGGGCACUCUAAGAUGACUGCCGGUGACAAACCGGAGGAAGGUGGGGAUGACGUCAAAUCAUCAUGCCCCUUAUGACCUGGGCUACACACGUACUACAAUGGCCGGUACAACGGGAAGCGAAGGAGCGAUCCGGAGCCAAUCCCAGCAAAGCCGGUCUCAGUUCGGAUUGCAGGCUGCAACUCGCCUGCAUGAAGUCGGAAUUGCUAGUAAUCGCGGAUCAGCAUGCCGCGGUGAAUACGUUCCCGGGUCUUGUACACACCGCCCGUCACACCACGAGAGUUUACAACACCCGAAGCCGGUGGGGUAACCUGAGGCGUUUCGCAAGAAACGCACAUCGGAAGCGAUGCUCAGGGGCCAGCCGUCGAAGGUGGGGUAGAUGAUUGGGGUGAAGUCGUA
RNAcentral lists this ribosomal RNA (442 nucleotides) under uncultured bacterium. Its description in RNAcentral is "bacterial SSU rRNA". It matches the Rfam family "Bacterial small subunit ribosomal RNA", at positions 1087 to 1490 of the family's 1533-position model. The record is from RNAcentral.